Molecule: long non-coding RNA, 3406 nt
Filed under: Capsicum annuum
Lineage: Eukaryota; Viridiplantae; Streptophyta; Magnoliopsida; Solanales; Solanaceae
Description: long non-coding RNA (CANN_LNC002505)
Source: RNAcentral
GUCGUUAUUUUUUACUUAGUUGUCUAUUUGAUAAUUUUUAUGAUUAAUAUGAUAGAACUUACUCUAGUGCAAAGAAAAGUUGGAAAGUCUUGCAGAGUAAGUAAGACACUGAGGAGGUGGGAGCGAAAAAAUAUGUGGCUAGAGGCCAAGAUACACUUAUGCAAACAGAAGAGAACAACAUCACACCGAAGGUAAAUUUAUCUUCAAAUAAUGCUACUCUUGAAAAUAACAAAAAUACUACAUUGAAGCCUAAGAAGAAAAUAUUCAAGAAAAAUAAUGGUAGACAUCUCAAUAAUAAUUAUGGUGGAAAUAUCCAAGCAAAAAAUCAACAUGUACGAGAAAAAGGACCGUGUUUUGUCUGUGGCAAAAGUGGGCAUGUUGCUCGACCUUGCAAAUAUCGAAAACGUGGGCCUACACCUCAGGCAAACAUUACCGAAAAACCAUUUGUGGCAGUAAUAAUAGACAUAAAUAUGGUUGUGAAUGUUGAUGGUUGGUGGGCUGACUCUGGUGCAAACCGUCAUGUCAUUAUGACAAAGACUGGUUUAAAAGUUAUAAAAAUUUUGAGGAACCCAAAAUCAUCAUGCUUGGAGAUUCACACACAAGUCAAGUACUUGGAGUGGGGGAUGUCGAGUUGAGAUUUACUUCUGAAAGGGUAUUAAUCUUAAAUGAUAUACUUUAUACUCCUUCCAUGAAGAAAAACUUGAUGUCUAGUUUUCUUCUUAAUAAACAAGGCUUCAAAUAGAUUAUUGAAUCUGAUCAGUAUAUAAUCGUGAAAAAUAAUAUUUUUUUGGGAAAAGGGUAUGCAUGUGAUGGUAUGUUCAAGCUGAGUGUUGAAAUGCAUAAAACAUCUACUUCUGUUUAUAUGCUUUCUUCUACUAAUUUUUGGCAUGCUCCUUUGUGUCAUAUAAAUGAACGUUACGUGGGAAUCAUAAGUAGUUUAGGAUUAAUUCCAAUGAUCAAAAAGAAUUUUAAAAAAUGUGAAGCUUGUAGUAAAGCUAAAAUCACAAAAGGCCUCACUUCCAUGUUGAAAGAAAAACUGAUUUAUUAGAAUUAGUUCAUACUGAUAUUUGUGAACUUGGUGGAAUUUUAACUCGUGGAGGAAAUAGAUAUUUUAUCACUUUCAUUGAUGAUUUUUCUAAGUUUACAUAUGUUUACUUAAUGAAAAAUAAAAGUGAUGCUUUUGAGAAUUUUAAAACUUUCCUCCAUGAAGUUGAAAAUUAGUUUAAUAGAAAAAUAAAAAGACAAGAAGUGAUAGAGGUCGUGAAUAUGAGUCACUUGAGUUCAAUUCUUUUGUAAGAUCAUUGGGAAUAAUUCAUGAAACUACUCCUCCUUAUUCUCCUGCAUCUAACGGUGUAGCAGAAAGGAAGAAUAGAACUUUGGUUAAGUUGGCUAAUGCCAUGUUAAUUGAGUCUUGUGCACCUUUAAAUUUUUGGGGUGAAGCUCUUUUGACUGCUUGUUAUGUGUUGAAUCGUGUGCCUCGUAAAAAUACGAAAUUAACUCCUUUUGAAUUGUUGAGAGGUCAUAAGCCAAAUUUGGGAUAUCUAAGAGUUUGGGGUUGCUUAGCCUAUGUAAGGUUAAUGGAUCCUAAAAUCUCUAAGUUGGGUAAAAAGUUACUACUUGUGCUUUUCUUGAUUAUGUUUCAAAUAGUACAGCCUAUAGAUUUUUUAAUCUUGAAGAUAGCGCGAUAAUAGAAUCAGGUGAUACUAUUUUUCAUGAAGAUAAAUUUCCUUUUGAUUCUAAAAAUAGUUGGGGUCAUGGGACCAAAGAAAAUAUUUUGUAUACUUUAAAUAAUAAACAAAAUGAUGAUUUUGAGUUAAGAAGGAGUAAACGAGCUAGAGUAGAAAAAGAUUUUGGUCCUGAUUAUUAUGUUUUUAAUGUUGGAGAUGACCCACUCACUUUAAAAGAAGCUUUGUCAUCACAUGAUGCUAUUUUCUGGAAAGAGGCUGUAAAUGAUGAAAUGGAAUUGCUAAUUUCCAAUAAAACUUGAAAGCUAGUUGAUUUAUCAACGGGUUGUAAAACAAUUGGAUGUAAAUAGGUCUUACGUAAAAAAUUUAAACCGGAUGGAUUUGUUGAUAAAUAUAAAGUUAGGCUUAUGGCUAAAGGUUUUAAACAACUAGAAGGCCUAAAAUUUUUUAAUACUUUUUCAUCGGUAACGAGAAUUACAUCCAUUAGACUUUUAGUCUCUAGUGCGGCAAUUUUUGAUUUACAAAUUCAUCAAAUGGAUGUAAAAACUGCUUUUUUAAACGGAGACCUGAAUGAAGAGAUUUACAUGGAACAACCCGAAGGUUUUGUUGAGGCUGGCCAAGAAAGCAAAGUAUGUAAACUUAAUAAAUCCCUAAAUGGAUUGAAACAGGCACCGAAGCAGUGGAAUGAAAAGUUUGAUUCCUGCAUGAUUGAAAAUGAGUUUAAAAUAAAUGAGUGUGAUAAGUGCAUAUAUCAUAAGUUUUGGAAUAAUUCACAUGUGAUUAUUUUCCUAUAUGUUGAUGAUUUAUUGAUCUUUGGCUCUAAUAUGAAUAUUAUUGAUGAAACUAAAAAUAUUCUUAAAAGCCAUUUUGAAAUGAAAGAUCUUGGUGAGACAAAUUUUAUUCUAGGAAUAAAAAUUACUAGAACAUGUGAUGGAAUUUUCCUUGAUCAGUCACAAUAUGUUGAGAAAAUAUUGAAAAAAUAUAAUUUCCUUGAUUGCAAGCAUGUUGUAACUCCAUUUGAUUCUAGUGUUCACCUGUUUCCUGUUGAGAGUGAAACAGAAGUAAUAAAUCAGAAGGAAUAUGCGAGCAUAAUUAAAAGUUUGAGAUAUGUGACUGAUUGCAGUAGGCCUGACAUUGCAUAUGCAGUGGGAGUACUUAGCAGGUUUACUAGCAAGCCAGGUAAUGAACAUUGGCAUACUAUAAACAGAGUAAUGAGAUAUUUAAUUGAAAUGAAAAAUUAUGGUUUAUUCUAUACUAAAUAUCCUGCAGUACUUGAAGGCUUUUGUGAUGCGGAUUGGAAUACUUUAUCAGGUGAUUCCUUAUCCAUGAUUGGUUAUGUUUUUACCUUGGGUGGUGGUGCUAUUUGUUGGAAGUCUAAAAAGCAAACAAUUAUUGCUAACUCUACCAUGGAGGCUGAACUAAUUGUUUUAGCUUCAGCUAGUGAGGAAGCAAAUUGGUUGAGGGAUUUGUUAUUUCAAAUACCUUAUUUUGAAAAACUAAUUCCUCCUAUAUUAAUACAAUGUGAUAGCACCGCUGCAAUUGGUAGAGUUCAAAACCGUUAUUAUAACGGUAAAUCCAGACCUAUACGGAGAAAGUACAGUAAUGUUAGAUUAUAUUUGACAAAUGGUACCAUUAAUGUUGAUUAUGUCAAAUCUUGUGAUAAUCUUACAGAUCCAUUGACUAAGGCCUUAGCGAGAGAAAAGGUAUGGAGUACAUCGAGG